RNAcentral lists this long non-coding RNA (7632 nucleotides) under Homo sapiens (human). RNAcentral describes it as "HSALNT0127182". The record is from RNAcentral. Lineage: Eukaryota; Metazoa; Chordata; Mammalia; Primates; Hominidae.
AGGGUCCUCUGCCUAGGAAAACCAGAGACCCUUGUUCACAUGUUUAUCUGCUGACCUUCCCUCCACUAUUGUCCUAUGACCCUGCCAAAUCCCCCUCUCCGAGAAACACCCAAGAAUGAUCAAUAAAUACUAAAAACAAACAACAACAAAAAAAACAACUAUGCUGAGUAAAAGGAGCCAGACCCAAAAGACCAUCUAUGAUUCUACUUAUAUGAAAUCUUUAGAAAUGCAAAAGUAUAGCCAGCAUGGUGGUUCAUACCUGUAAUCCCAGCACCUUGGGAGGCCAAGGCGGGCGGAUUACUUGAGAUCAGGAGUUUGAGACCAGCCUGGCCAACACGGCAGAACCCAGUCUCUACUAAAAAUACAGCCAGGUGUGGUAGUGCACGCCUAUAAUCCCAGUUACUCUGGUGGCUAAGGCACAAGAAUCACUUGAACCCGGGAGGUGGAGGUUGCAGUGAGCCAAGAUGAUGCCACUGAACUCCAGCCUGGGUGGCAAAGGAAGACUGUCGAAAAAAAAAAAAAAGAAAAAGAAAAAGAAAAAGAAAAGAAGGAAGGGAGGGAGGGAGGGAAAGAAGAAAGAAGGAAGGAAGGAAAGAAGGAAGGAAGGAAAAGAAAAGAAAAGAAGAGAAAGGAAGGAAGGAAGAAAAGGCAAAACUAUAGAAUCAGAGAACAGAUUAGUGGCUGCUGGGGCCUGGGGUAGGAGAGGAGACUGACUAUAAACAGGCAGGAGGGAACUUUGUCAGUCGACAGUCAUGUUCUGUAGCUAGAUUGGGAUGAAGUUUGCUGUUAAAAAUGCACUAAAACUCACCAAACUACACUUAAGAUGGGUAGAUUUUGUGGUAUAUAAGUUAUACUUCAAAAAACUAUAAAUAAGAAAGUUAACUGGAACAUCCUGUGCUUUCCAAAUCAAGACACCUUUCAGAGGAUACAUUCAUAGCCUUUGCCCCGGGCAAGCGGAGCCCUCCACCACGUGGCCAGAAUUUCCUGACGUCCAAGAAAGGGCAUUAAACAAUAUGGCUUCUGAGAAAACAUCUAAUAUCAGAUAAGUCAUUGAAUAUAAAAGUUCAUCUCUGUACUCACAGUGCCAGAGUCAGUGCCUGGCCCACAGUAAACACCUAAAGAGUAUUUAUUGAAAAAAAUGAAUGGGUUGUUAUUUUAUCAGGGACUAUACUCUUAGGGAGGAAUGAGGUACAAGGGGAGAGAUGCUGGAAAGGAUGGAGAGCCAAUAUGGAGGAGUACUGAGCUGCCGAGUGUGACUGAUUGCUCAAUCCACAGACCACACUCCCAAGAAGGUGGAUAAAUGGGAGCUCAGAACCAGCCCUGUGAUGGAGUGGGGAAAGGGAGAAGAACUUACUCCCGGGAUGUGCUUGGUCUAAGAUUCACCCCCUUGCUCCUCUGGAUUGUGCAUUCCAGAGCGUGGGCAUUAGUGGAGUCUGCAGUGAUGUCAACAUGGGAGUGUUGGGUGGGAGAUGAGAGGGGUACUGGUGUGAAAUUGGCUGGGGCCCACACAGAGCUGGAACAAGAGAUGGGGAGGCCGAGGCUCUGGAGUGGUGCAUAAACAGGUGUUGGGCACAAUGUAUAUAAAUUAGCCUUUUAAAUUAUCUACCAUCAUGGGCAGGACUUGAGACUGGAGGAUAGGCCAUUUGGGGAAGGUUUAUGUGGGGUGUUCUCAUAUUCAAUUCCUGGCAAGGUUCUAGGUACAUUGGAAGUAUCAAUAAGAAUCAACUGGUUGAUUGCAUAGAGGCAUCUAAGCAGGCCAGUAUGAUACUAGGUACUAGGUUCCUAAAGGGGGACACUGAUGGAGGGGAAGUGAAUGUGGGGACAUGAGGAGAAAUGGUGGACAGAAAGGGGCUGAAAACAAACUUAAUCCACUUUAUAAUUUUGUCUGGGUCCAAGCUGACUUGGAAAUAUUCCCUAUGUCCUCUCCUUUGUUCUAAAAGCACCCAGAACCCCUUCCGAAGUUUCUUCUUUAAUAAGAUUUCCUAAUCAUUAUAAAACCCACUUAAGACCCAGGUAAAGGUUGUGCUCCUAAGGAUCAAUAAACUCAACUUUCCACUAGAUUUUCCUGAAGCCCAAGCACUGCUCUCUUUGUUUUCAGCAUAUAUCACCACCGCCUAAGUUAGGUCUGUUGUCCAGUAAGUAGAUAGUAUAGCUCUCUUUUGCUCCACACAUUGUCUACAGCUGACAGGUAUCAUUUGGAGAAUAAAAUUAGCAAAUGUUAUUGCUGUGUCUAUUUAUAUUUUAUUAAUCAACAGAUUUUUAGCAAAUUUUGGUUUUAUCUCCAUGAAUCAUAGACUUGAAAGGCCAAAGACACUCCAGGGAAUUCUUUAUUUUAGCAUCUUCUUUCCAGGCAAAAAGACAGGACAUCCCCAUUAGAGUUGUUGUAUUGGACCCCUCGUGUGCACCACUUCAAAGUCCUCUUGGGUUGUUCCUCUUAUUUCAGCCACAGCUGUAGACACCUGUUUUCCUGGAGGCUUUGAGCAGCUUGGCACAGGUGCUCUAGGACAGUGGCCUCACCUUGACCCUCAUAGGGAUCUCUUGCUUCCUGCCCUAGCCAUCUCUAAUCUUGGUUAAUAGUUCUAGAAAUCCACUCUGCACUCAAGCACAACCCAGCAGUGCAGGGGAGUUAGUCUUGUGAGGGCCAGUCUAGACCAGUGAAGAUCUGGAGUCAGUGGAUAAAAGCACUCCAUUUCAUCCCCUGGCAGACAGUUCUGAAACACUUCAUAAACCCUUUCACCAGUCCACUGGGAUCAACCAGCCAAUGCAAUGACACAGGCUUCUGUUGGCUCCUCCCCUCACUUUCUUCCACUCCCCCUUUCUGCAUUUCUGCUCCUGAGGAUCACAUUUCCAAACAAGCUACUUAUGCACAAGUCCCCAAAUGCUGAGCCAGAGACUAAGGCUUGUGCAUAAGUAGUCUCUGGCUCAGCUUUUGGGGGACCCUAGGCUAACACAAGUGGUUGGCAGUCUUAGAUUGGGUUUGCAAAAUCUCAUACCCUGGAUUCAUGCUCCCAGGGUGCAUCACCCAUGAUUGGUCCCUUGAUGCACCCACCACCUCCCCGACAGAAGGACUCCUCAACUACAGUGAUGUGGUGUGUGUGUGUGUGUUUGAUGUGUGUAUUUUUUCCAAGGCUGAAAUAGGAAACAGGAAAGAGACAUUCCCUGAGAACUUUUGUGCCUACCCUUUUUUUGGUUCUCUCACUUGUCUCCUUUAUACAAGGAGGACACAGAUUUAGAGAGGCCAGAUAACUCAUCCAAGACCACACAGCAAGAAUUCAAACUAGAAUUUGAACCCAGUCCUGUGGAUUCAAAGUCCAUAAUCUUUCUACAGCAUGGGAACAGCAGACAAAUCCUUAUAAGUCUUGAGCAUCCUUUUACUUCCACAUGUACUCCUUGAAGAUCUAUAGGACACACUUUACAUAAGGCAUGACCUGUAGAUGUGCAGUUUCACUCUUUUCUGGGGUCAUUUCUUCUCAGGUCUCUGCAUUUGGUCCUUCUCCAUCUCCUUUGGAAAACAAGGUGCUGAGCUGCUUUCCUGGCUCAUUUUGACUCUCAGUGUAAAAAGUGUUCUGCUUUGUUGGCUAGAUUUUCCCCUUUUCUUCCUCCACUGGGUCACAUACUUUCACCACGAAGCCUUUUGGCUUAUCUUUUUAUUCUCCUUUGCCUCAUUAGAAGCAUAACUACAGACUCCCUUGGUGCAAAUUCCUUCACUCUAGGCAGAAGUGCAGAAGCUACCACGUGGAGAAGCAUUUCCCAGACAUCUUCAAUGUCUCUUCAAGCUUGACUUGGGGGAAUGCAUAGGAAGGAAGGUGAACAUCAUAAACCCAUGGAGACCACUGACACAACCCUCAUCUUCCAAGGUGCUUGGUUAGAAUGGAGUCUCACUCUGGCUGGAAUGCAGUGGUGCAGUCUUGGCUCACUGCAACCUCUGUCUCCCGAGUUCAAGCGAUUCUCCUGCCUCAGCUGCGCAAGUAGCUGGUAUUACAGCAGAUGAAUAAUAGGGGGUCUCCAACCGGACAGAAAAUGAAUGCUGUCCUCACAUUUGUGUAAGAGGAGCCGAGACAUCUGGAUGUGAAGCCCCAUCAAGUGCUCCCAGGGGCAAUGGUGGCACCUGUGGAACCUCCAACAGCUCAUGGAGCCCCACCUUCUGAAAGAUGUUCAGAGCUGAGUGUGCGGGAGCCGUGGCUCAUACAGGGCUUUGGGAGACAGAAUCACAUUUAGAAAGUAAGGCUGUGUGACAAUACCCAGGGCACAUUCCCAGCUGUCCCUGCCUUUAUCGUUUGUAGGGACCUGGUGCUUUGCAGUUCUCCUGGAUCCUGCAUAAACCCUGGAGCUUUGGGAUACAGGCUAAUGGAAUAUCCUUGCCCCUGGGGGAGGGCUACACUGGUGUCCUCACCCUUGACUUCAUGGUGAUGGUGGUUCACCUUGCAGAUGGAUCCCAAUGUCCCUCUGUGAGACAUAGAUGAUUUCACAGCACAGCUUUUUUGGGGUCUAUCCUGAUCUGACCCAGUUUAACAGUGGGUAGAGUCCUCCAUGUCUUUCUCCAUCAUCUCCUGGGAACCAGUUUCACACCUGACCUCUAUUUUAUGCUUUCCAAAUUACACAGGAAAAUUUGGCUUCCUUCUGGAAACUCCUAAAGUGCAAAACACUCAUGUUUUUAACUGCUCCAUCCCUAUUAUAAUAGUCAAUACAUAUUAAGCACUUACUGUGUGCCAGGCUGUCUGUGCCAAGAAAUUUGCAAACAUUAGCUUACUUUAUCUUUACAGGAGUUCUCUGAGAUAGGUAUUAUUAACAUAUAAUGGUUUGUUAAUACAAAGUUUCACAGAUGCUUCCAGAAUUCACAAAAAACUGUGCACAGUGUCUUUAAGAAUUAACUGGCACAUUCAUACCUUGAUGAGAGCAUUCUCUUUUAAUCAUGCCCUUCUUAUUUGCCAUACCAUUUACAACAAAAUACACCAUUGAUGUUUAGCUAAAUGAAAGCUGAAAAAGAAAAUUGGUGAAUGAGAAAGCCAGUGGUCAUGAAAGUGCUAGAAAUAUUCAGCAGUUUGAAUAGCUCUGAACUGUGUAAAUCAUUUGAAAUAUUCCUUCCCCCACCUAUGAACUGAUUUUUAUUGUUUUUCAUAAAUUUUUUCUUUUUUUCAUAGUAUUAAUGUAUUGUAUGUGUUUUCAAAUAUUUUCUCAUAUAUGAAAAGGGCCAUUCCACAGUGUUCUUUGUAAGCUUUCCCUCACAUCAUUGUUUUGGAUGAGGCUUUAUGCUUCUCAAAGCAGUGAGAUAACAGAUAACACAGAAGCCAUGUGCUGGCACUUCUAUUCAGGUUGGCAUGGCCUCAACCAUUUUGAGUCAAAUUUCUGUCUAGUCUAGUAGGACCAUUUCCUAAAGUUGUAUCCAUACUAGGAAGGCAGAUAUGAAGAAAUGCUGCUAUGCUACCAAUCAGAAUAAUGUAGGCUUUGGGGUCCUGGGCUGGUAAAGCCUGGGUAUGAUGGCUAAAUUGAGCUGUUCUUACCCAGAUGAGGCUUAUGGUCAUCUGCUCUGUCUCCAAAGGUAAUCAGCCACUGCACAUGAGGUUUACUACACUGCACACGCAUGUGUGUUCUCUAGGUAAAUUUAAAUGAUAUUUUUUGGGGGGAAUCUGAGCUCAAAGAGAUAGAGUUCAAAUCAGAUCCAGUGUCUUUUCUGUCUCUAGGUGCCCAAAAUUGUCAUAAAGAGACAAUCUCUUACCUUCUGAGAAAUAUCAGUCAUUCCCUGUGACUCACACCAGCUUCUAUAUUUAGAACUGGGUCUCCUGCCAUCUGAUGCAGGCCACAGAUGAACAGGUCUCCUGCCAUCUGAUCCAUACGCCACACUUCAGGCUAUGUUAUCCCUAAGCCCACCACAUCCACUUACGAUUGAGGACAAAGGAAAAAGAAAGGGCCAUCAUCUUUAUGUGUCUUUUAAAGGACAUUCCUGUCAGUAAGAAGAAAGAGUCUAAGAUUUUACCCCGCUAACAAGUUAUCCUAUUACAGUUUUAUAGAGCAGAGGACAAAAAACUACUGGGUCAAAGACAAAGACUUUAUUCCAUAUAGCAAUAGCAGUAGCCAGAGUAUCAGUAAUUUCUUGAACUGGUUCCUAAGACUCCAAUUAUUCCAAUAGGGUGUUAUAAAGAGGGCCACAUGACACCCACACACACAGCAGAUUGCAUUACAUGAGAGAAAACUCUGAGCUUAGGGAACCAGAAUCUUUUAUAAUAAGCGGUAAGCAUCCCUCCAUGCUCUAGAAGGAAACACUUUCUCUGCCACUUAAGGCUACUUAUUAUACAACUGUUAUUUUAAAAAACAGCUCUGGAACAAAGGGCAACCAGUGCCUCUGCUUGCAAGAUGUGUGAUUAGAACUAUAGAGAAUUUUCUCCCAAGAAUCCUUUGAUUUUGCUGUUGCCAGUUAUGGCAAAAAGGCAUACUGUGGCUUUAUAAUAUAGCAAUUGCUCCCUCAAUAGGCAACCACACACUUUCGGUCAGGGUUCUUGGGCACUUGGCUUUGGGCCUUGAGAAUCCCAUGGUUUCCAAAGAGAAUGUAAAUAUAAAUAAUGAUGUUUGAUUACACGUGUCCGUAUAAAGGUAUUCCACUUUGAAAAGUAACUUAGGAAAAAACAAAAACCCCAAAAAAGCCCACUUAAAAUUUCACACAUUUUUUAAAAGGGAAACGGUUUUAUUCCUUACGCUUUAUUUGAAUUGGAACCCUGCAUUUAAAUUUUAGCAUGUUGAGGUUCUUUAGAAAGGAAAGAUAAGUUUACAUACAAUCCCAGACAGAAUAUAAAAAAGACUCAUCAAAAGAGAAUUCUAAUUCCAGUCAAGUGACCCUCUUUCUACAAAUUGUUAAUUAAAAGCUCAAGGGUAAAAUAGGACAAAAAACCCAUUUAUUCAUUUUCAGAUAAAGGUCAGUUCUUCCAUGGUAUAACAUUAUUUUCCCUAGGGCAGUUAUAUUCAUACAUAGAAUCUACUUUAGCAAAAAUAUUAUCUGUUUAACUGGAAAUCUAUACAGAUAAUUAAAUUCCUGCUAUCUCACACAGCUACCUCUAGUCUUAUGGAAUAAAUGAGUGCACAUCAGGAUUUUUAAUUUUCUCAUUAAUAUAGCAAAUAAGUAAAAUUCAUUUACACGGCAUUUCUUCACUUUUAAAGAGCAAUGUUUCCUGUUCACUCUGCACUUUUAAAGUGUAAACACAACAUUCUUGCCAUAAGAGAUAAAAAGACUAUAUUCUCUUCAAAAAAGUGCUUUUAUGUGAAUAAAAAGGAAGUGUAUUCGAUUUUGUAGAAUCAUCACAAACAGAACUUAAAAUCACACUAGAAAUAGAUGCUAACAGAAAGCUGUUGAGUUUCCUUGCAAACAGGAAAAGAAGCAGUGGAUGUUCCAAAACUGGGGAUCCUGUCAAUGGCUGGGUCUGCUUAGUUGUGUGCAGUGCUCUGAAAGGGCUACAUCAGAAAUUCCUUAGUAAAUGAGUAAGUGAGAGUCAGAAUCUAAAGGCUAUGCCUGCCUUGGCAGCACAUAAACAGACACCUCAACUGUGCAAAGAUGGCUGGCAUAACCUCUGUGCAAGAGAAACACAUGCCCACAAAGUAUUCCAUGCUUCUGAAAGUGCCUAAAAGAUGUGGGUGAUAGUGUCU